ACGUAGUUGGCCGGAGCUUCUUCUGGAGGUACCGUCAUUUUCUUCCCUCCUGAAAGCGGUUUACAACCCUAAGGCCGUCAUCCCGCACGCGGUGUCGCUGCAUCAGGCUUUCGCCCAUUGUGCAAUAUUCCCU
Molecule: ribosomal RNA, 133 nt
Filed under: uncultured bacterium
Lineage: Bacteria
Description: partial 16S ribosomal RNA
Source: RNAcentral